GCGGGGAUGCCGGAGUGGUCAAACGGGCAUGGCUAAGGACCAUGUGGCUUAGUGCCUACGCAGGUUCGAGUCCUGCUCCCCGCA
This 84-nucleotide transfer RNA is filed under the name Candidatus Pacearchaeota archaeon ex4484_26. Its description in RNAcentral is "tRNA-Leu". It matches the Rfam family "tRNA". Rfam says of the family: Transfer RNA (tRNA) molecules are approximately 80 nucleotides in length. Their secondary structure includes four short double-helical elements and three loops (D, anti-codon, and T loops). The record is from RNAcentral. Lineage: Archaea; Nanobdellati.